CAUUGAAAUUUCUUUCUAUUUAUCUUGUUGGCAAAGUGAAAAGCAAUUUUUGUUUGCUAACGCUGCCUUUUCCCUCGCUGCAUAAAAAAGUGGUGAUGAUAAAAAGAGGGGGGUUUUUCUUAUCUUCUGCAGGGAAGCCCCCAGUGUUCUCAUUUGUAUGUACAGUCUAUCAUUGCUGUUUUAGCCUAUUUUCAUUUUAUUUAUAGCUUUGAAUCACUUAUUAUUUGCUUGGAAAGAAUUUGCCUAGAACUCUUAAUUGGUACACAUAGCAAUUAAAACUUUAUUACUUAAAUAUUUUUCAGAACAGGAAAGAAAAGGUACCCAAAUCAGCAUAAUCAAUUUAGCCAUAAAACCCUAAGUCUGACUUUUUAUUUUAUUUAUGAUACGCAUUUUGUUCUAAUGCUUUGUAAGUAGCAUAGCUGUUCUUUCUAGUUCUACAUAAAUGAGAUUCAUGCCUAAUGUGCCUCCAAUUUUCAAAAACAAUCCUUCAAAUACAGUUUUAACUUGCCAUUAAGACUGUGUCUACCCAUCAUAAAAUGAAUGUUUGGGAAGGAAUUACUGGCGCAUGCAGGGUGUUAGUUUUUUAAUAUGAGAAUCAGUUCUGCCCUGCAAGUCUUUUCAUCACAACUUUCCUGUAGAGAAGUGGAUUUUGCUGUUUUUAGGAGGUAUUUCCAGACAAAAGUCACAUCAAGUCUAUUCCCCAUUGAUUUAACUUUAGCAGUCUUUGUUGUAGACAAAAUUUUACAGAUAGAUAAAAAAAGAUUUAAAAAAUAAAUGUAAUGGUUUGGAAAUGUUUAUUCAGUGUAGGCAGAGCAUCUGUUGGUACCUUAUAUCCCUUGGGAAGAUUUCUGAAAGACUAUAAUGAAUAAAAUGGAAAAAGUUGGAAAUUUAUAGCAACCCAAAAACUAUUCAAAGAAUGAUGAAAAUUACUCUGAAAAGUUCUGAUGAGUAAGUAGUCAGCAAGCAAGCACACACACACACACACACGCACACAUAUGAAGGACUGAAAAUGAGUCCAGCACUGUGCUAGGCACUUUUACUUGCAUUAUCUCAUUUAUUGCCCUCUCUGCUCCACAGAAUUCCACUGAAAAAGGUGUUAUUAGUACCCAUUUUUAAAGCGGAGAAAGCAAAUAACAUAUAUAAAAUCAUUUAAAAACUUAUAAGUUAGAUUGUACAUAAAAAAAGCUCAGAGAAAGAAAGAGAUGAGAGAAGAGAGAGAUUAGUGGCUUUACUGAGGGCUGAAGAUGUCAGAACAGAAAGAUCUUACACAGCCUGGAAAGAUGAUGGCAAUUUGAGAACCUGCUCACCUUCUCCUUUAUGGUAGCUCACUUCCCCUCCUUCAUCUCUGGCGACUGAGAUAUAUGUUUUUAUAAACUUCCAAACUCUAAAUUAUAAGAAUUGUCAAGGCUGUUUUCUACUUUCUAGGACUAUGGAUUUAAACUUGGAAGGGCUUCAAUCAAUUCUUUAUCUCAGUAAAAGAAAAGUGUUUUUGUAACAGGAAAUGAAGGGAUUUAUCUGUAAGCUUACAGAAAAGAUUGAAAACCAGCACUGAAAUCCCAUGAGAGACAGGAGUUCUCCUUAGUUCUCGGUUGGCUCACAUGAUGUAGUACCUGGAGCUGUGCAGCUGGUUUGUAACUAUAAGUUGAUGAACAGAGAUGUUGGGCCUGGCACCAUGGAGCUGUUGAAGACACACCAAAAAAACAGUCUAUCUUUUGACUUCUAUUUUUUCGUGUGGAACAAAACUAUUUUGUUAAAAUGUUAUAGUUGAAUGUAGUUGAAUGCUUUGUUACUUGCAGCUAAAUACAUUCCUAAUAAGUAAAGGAGAGAUUAUAACUAUAAUCUUAUUAUAACUGUCUAUAUUAGCUACUAACUGAAUAUAUUAUAUUUAGGAAAUAAUAAUUAUGGUAAUCUAAAUUAUUAACCCAGUUUUCUCCAAAAUAAUGUAAAUUGGUUUAAUAUGGGUAACUGAAAACAUACAAUAUGGUAAAUGAUGAAAUAAAUAAAUGUCAAAUA
Non-coding RNA from Macaca mulatta (Rhesus monkey), 2013 nucleotides. NCBI's taxonomy places the organism in Eukaryota, Metazoa, Chordata, Mammalia, Primates, Cercopithecidae. The record is from RefSeq and is a predicted model, not a curated record.